RNAcentral lists this ribosomal RNA (253 nucleotides) under uncultured bacterium. Its description in RNAcentral is "partial 16S ribosomal RNA". It matches the Rfam family "Bacterial small subunit ribosomal RNA", at positions 524 to 776 of the family's 1533-position model. The record is from RNAcentral.
UACGUAGGUGGCAAGCGUUGUCCGGAUUUAUUGGGUUUAAAGGGCGCGUAGGCGGCCUGUCAAGUCAACUGUGAAAUCUCCGGGCUUAACUCGGAACGGUCAGUUGAUACUGUCAGGCUAGAGUGCAGAAGGGGCAAUCGGAAUUCUUGGUGUAGCGGUGAAAUGCGUAGAUAUCAAGAGGAACACCUGAGGUGAAGACGGGUUGCUGGGCUGACACUGACGCUGAGGCGCGAAAGCCAGGGGAGCAAACGGG